Molecule: long non-coding RNA, 1669 nt
Filed under: Struthio camelus australis
Lineage: Eukaryota; Metazoa; Chordata; Aves; Struthioniformes; Struthionidae
Description: lncRNA (ENSSCUG00000012434.1)
Source: RNAcentral
CUGAUUCCUGCCUUCUUCUCACGUCUUCCCAAACUUCAGGCCAAAGUUACACUCCUUUUUUUGUUGUUUUUGAAGAGCUAUUUUUGUUGUCCUGGCCUAUUUCAUAUGAUGCACCAGUCCACGCAACGGGAAUGUCCCUCAGCCAGCUGCUUCUCGGGACAGGCUUCAUCUUCUCUGCAGCGCUGCGGGCAAACCAGCAGAGCAUGCCCUGUGCCAGUGCUGGAGGACAACUGUGUUACCGUGAUGCCCGGGUCUGCUCCUUGCUCCCUUCCCACUGCUGCACCGGCUGGCGCUGUUUUGGCACGGCUGGGGCUGCCUGGGUGCGUGAGCCAGCGCUCGGUCUGGGAGAGACUGGCUUGGCGGCUGUGGCAGCUCUGGCGUCACCAGUUCUGGGCCACUGGUACAUUCUUCGGCGACAAGAGCAUCACCCCUCAUUGCUUUCAUGGCUUUUUGCCGGACUGAAGCAAGCAACAGUGGUUAGACAUGUCCGUGGCCACAUGAGGCACGGCUGUGUCCAUCAGUGCCCCGCCGUGAGUCUGCAGUCAACCCUUGGCGGAGAGGUCCCUCCCGGGAGCCACGACCGCUGCCACGGACAGUUUUGGAGGUGGGAUGGCAGGCAGCAGCAAACUUUUUCUCCCUGCUGUGCCGUGUCUGUUGCUCCCCAAGGGAUCACAAAGCCGUAAUGCAACUGCAGAGGGUGCCCGGGGCGCUUGUGCCAUAGCGCCUCUCUUCUCCAGCAAAGUUGGUUUUGUUCUGCUGGAGAAUAAGUUUUACCAUCAGAAAAUGCAGAUUUGAUUUUGAUUUGCAGGGAGAAAAUAGUAGCCAAAGCAGUUUAUUUUGGUAAGGUUGAAGCCCUGAUGCUUCUGUCCUACAAAGCCUACACUGUAAUUGUAUAGAUAGAAAAAGAGUAACAUUGGCGUGAGAUUGUUCCAACUGAACCAAAACGAUUUUAUUUUUUCCUGCUUGAAAAUAUUGUCUAGAGUCAAAUUUUGCAUUUUAAGAUUUUUGUUCCAACUUGGCUGAAACCCGGAUAGUGAGAUGACGAGAUUUCCUGCGAAAUGGGGCUUCUGGGUCCUUGUCCAGCCCCUAAUCCUCUGGUUUACUUGAAAGCUCCUGGCCCCAGCUCCGAGCUUGGCCUUGAUGCUCUCAGAAGGGAAACGCUGUGUCUCACCGAUCGCUGAGCGUGAUUGCAACUUAUGGCUCCUGGCAAGCGCAAAAAAUCACCCCGUGCUUCCUUGUGCCACGCGUGGGGCCGCGGGAGCUGGCGGGGAGCGCAAUGCCUCUGGGUAUCACAUGCACCAGGUGCUGGUGGCGCACAAGAUGCCCUGCGCUUGGGGCUGGGACUCAACCACGGAGGAGAAGGCGAGACGCUUUUGGGAAGGCGAGAUGCUUUUCGAGUGGCUGCUCUCUCCCUUCUGGCACCCUGGGGCCCAAGGGAAACAUCUCACUGGGGGUCUCCAAGGUUUGGCAUCCUCCGCCUCCUCCCAGCUCCACGGCGAGGCAAAGACCCAGCUGAGCUCCUGGCUGGUGCCUCAGCCCCGCGUCGUCGUCCCAUCUCCAAAACACAUCCCUGGGCAGGUUUCCAGAGAUGUCCCCAGGCGGGGUCCGGCAAGAGGGUUUGCAAGGGGCCGUGGCCGGCCAGGACGUUGUCCCCCUCUUCCUGCCGCCG